GCCUGGGUAGCUCAGUCGCUUAAGCGUCUGACUUCGGCUCAGGUCAUGAUGUCAUGAUGUCAUGGUUCGUGGGUUCAAGCCCCACGUCAGGCU
Molecule: transfer RNA, 93 nt
Filed under: Felis catus (domestic cat)
Lineage: Eukaryota; Metazoa; Chordata; Mammalia; Carnivora; Felidae
Rfam family: tRNA
About the family: Transfer RNA (tRNA) molecules are approximately 80 nucleotides in length. Their secondary structure includes four short double-helical elements and three loops (D, anti-codon, and T loops).
Source: Rfam by way of RNAcentral